This is a non-coding RNA of Sus scrofa (pig), 1632 nucleotides long. The record is from RefSeq and is a predicted model, not a curated record. Lineage: Eukaryota; Metazoa; Chordata; Mammalia; Artiodactyla; Suidae.
CUAUGUUGGAUUCUUACCUGCUGAGCUGCAAUGGUAACUACAGGGAAGCUUACAACAGGAUUUGGGUUUGCUUCAUCAGACCCGGCAAGCGAGAAGAGCCAGAGGGAGGAGGAGGGAGAGAGAGCGAGAGAUCAAGUCUUUUAUAACCUCACCUCAAAAGUGGCUUUCCAUUACUUCUGCUGUAUUCUAUUUGUAAGUGGCACAUCUCCAAGUCUGGCCCACAGUCCAAAGGAAAGAAAAUUACACAACAGUAUGAACACCAACCAGGAGGAGGGAUCAUUAGGGGUCAUCUUAGAGUCUGCCUGCUCCAAUUCUAUUUGAGUUAUUACCAAACCAUUCAGAUGAUGGUGAUAAUACUGAAUCUAUCAAACUCAGAGAAUUGCAAAAUUAAAAUGCUAUCAUAAAUUCAAAAUGCUAUGGAAUGCAUUUUGUGGUCCCUAAAUGUAAGAAGGUUAUGGGAAACCUUCUCCUGUCAAAUAAAGGAGAAAUUGUCAGAGUGAUCAUAUUUAGGGAAAAAUAAUUCAUCUUCAACAAAAAUUAAUGUUUACUAAAAAUAAAGAUGACUUAGUAUGACUCUACAUCUUUCCCUUUAUUAUCUAAGCUUCCAUCUUUUUGAAAUCCAAACAUUUUUCUCUUGUUUUGCUAUGGCACUGAAGAUUCUAAACAGACCUACUUGCAUCUUAAAAGAGGUUUUGGAAAGAGGGAGUGAUUAUACACAAAGGAAGGUUCUCAGGCAUCUUUGAAGGUCUCUAAUUUUGGGAGAUUGCUUUCCUACAAAUCUUGGAAAAGACUGUUUACUCUGCUUAUAUAUAUCAUCAGAAUUCCUUGAGAAAUCAUCUUUAAAGGGUCCAGUUAAUCCAAUUUAAUCACCAUUGUUUCAACUAUUGCUGCAAAAAUCAUUACACCUGCAAUCUAUCAGGGUUCCAGUAGAUGGCAAAAGCAUACUAUGCACCCAAGUUGGAAUAAGUUCGAAAACUUGUAUAUUGGAGGCAUGAACAAAUGGUCUCAACCUGUUUUUAAAAUCUGCUUUUGUUGUGUUUGGGACACCAUGGAUGUAAAGGGAAUUGAAGCAUUCCAUCACAGACACCUCUGAUGCACACAGGUUUUGCUGAAAUUCUACAGAAUUAAAAAAAAAAGUUCAUAGGAAUGAGCAAUCUAAAGCAGAAUCGGGUCAUGCCUGUGUGUUAAUUUUGUAUUUAAUUCAACCAGGCUUUUUACUUUUUGAUUUGUUUUAAUAAAACAAACUGGAUAUAAUAUGGAAAUCACUUUAAUUAAAAGAAAGGCAUAUGGCACUUUGUAAUUAUAAGUCAUGAAGAUUCGUUAUUUAGAUACUGCUCUGCUAUGGGAGUUAAUUGACAGAAAGAUGUAAGACAUUUGUAUUCAAAUGGUGUUUUUCAGUUAUGUGAUACAAGUACUUUUAAAAGAGUGUACAUAUUAUUGCGCAUAUUGUAACUUAGAAAGCAUAUAUGCAUGACAAUUUCAUUGCUAUUCGUAUCUGUUUAUGUUCUUGCUAAUUUGACAAUAUUGUAAUUUAAACCAAGAACAUAAUGCAGCUAUGUGAUUGUAACCAGUGGGAGAUAAGGAUGGUUAAAUUUAUAUUCACACAGAAUAAACAUAAAUUAGCAAAAUUCA